UGAUGACACUUUCUCCGGAAUCUCUGACCCUCUGUGACGAUUCCAGAUUUGAACCCUUUUCCAGCUGAUGACUGUAGACCAAGACUCUAGACUUUUC
Spea bombifrons (plains spadefoot toad) is the source of this 97-nucleotide small nucleolar RNA. RefSeq annotates it as small nucleolar RNA MBII-202. The transcript has a single exon. NCBI's taxonomy places the organism in Eukaryota, Metazoa, Chordata, Amphibia, Anura, Pelobatidae. The record is from RefSeq and is a predicted model, not a curated record.